AGGACGAACGCUGGCGGCGUGGAUUAGGCAUGCAAGUCGAGCGAUAUCUACCCUUCGGGGUAGUGAAAGCGGCGAACGGGUGAGUAACACGUGGACAACCUGCCCUCACAUUCCGGAUAAUAGACCGAAAGGUCUUGUAAUGCGGGCGAGGAUUCUCUUAAGGCAUCUUUUGAGAAGGGAAGGCGCAAGCCGUGCGAGGAGGGUCCGCGGAUUAUCAGGUAGUUGGUGGGGUAAUGGCCUACCAAGCCGACGACGAUUAGCUGGUCUGAGAGGAUGGUCAGCCAACACGUGGGACUGAGACACUGCCCAGACUCUACGGGAGCUGCGAGUCGAAGAAUCUUAGCACAAUGUAACGAAAGUAUGACUGACAGCGACGCCGCGUGAAGGAUGAAGUCCCGUGGUCGUUAA
This 408-nucleotide ribosomal RNA is filed under the name uncultured soil bacterium. Its description in RNAcentral is "bacterial SSU rRNA". It matches the Rfam family "Bacterial small subunit ribosomal RNA", at positions 26 to 429 of the family's 1533-position model. The record is from RNAcentral.